Molecule: long non-coding RNA, 5434 nt
Organism: Cavia porcellus (domestic guinea pig)
Lineage: Eukaryota; Metazoa; Chordata; Mammalia; Rodentia; Caviidae
Exons: 4
Source: RefSeq, a predicted model, not a curated record
UGUGCUUUAGCCUGCUCCUUAGGUACUUGGGCUUGCUUCUUAGCUGCUUUGGCCUGCCUUUUUUCUGCUACCUUGGAAUGAACAGUUCUUCUGUAGACUCUCCCACCAUAGUCUUUCUGUCUUGAAACUAGCUGAUGAAAUCUAAAACCCGAGACAAAAUAAUCUCUUUCUCUUUAAAUUGUACGUGUCAGAUAUUUUGUCUCAGUGACAGCAAAGUCAUUUAUAUACCUCCAUUAUGUAUUCAAACUCUGAGACAGCUCUUCAGGUUUCUGCAAAUGCCCUUCUGAUCUUCUUUCUAAAAGAGAAAACAGGAAUUAAAUUUUAUUUCCUUCUCCACCCAAUGAAGUUUAAGUACUUCUGGAAAACCUAAUGCUCCUUCGGCCAGAAACUUCCAGGUAUGAAGGAAGCAAUUUUACUGGUGUUAUAUAAUCAUAGCCCCACAAAGUGGGAGGAGGAAAAUAAGAUCUCAGAAGCUUCUGAAAUGUCUUAAAGGAGGUCUUUUUUGUGAUGAUUAUCACAACUGAGGCAGCAUUCUACCUUAAUAAUACACCAAUGUGAUUACUGCUCUGGAACCUCUCAACUGUAUCAUACCUUUCCUUCCUUCCAUGACCUUUCUUCUUCCUUCCUGUCAGACAACAAUUUCUUUAACAAAUCCUUGGGAUUGAAAAACAGUCUUGGUCUCUUGAUAUUUUAAGGUCCCAUUUGUAUUGGAAUGGGUAAAGUUCCAACUGUUUUUCAAUGACAGGGAUGGAAGCAAGGAUAGGCUUAAAUAAAAGACACAAGACCUGGGGCCGAAUCUCAGUGUUAAAGCAUUUGUUAGCAUGUGUAGUGUUCUGAGUUUUACCUCCACAUGCUGGAGGUACUCUAUACCCUAUUUCUGUGGAUUGUAAUAUGAGACAUGUUUUUUUUUUUUUUUGUCUUUUUCAUUUUUAUCGGUACCAGGGAUCGAACUCACGACUGCCUGCUUGUAAGGCAGGUGCUUAUGCCCCUGAGCUAAAUCCCCAGCCCUGAGACAUGUUUUUAAGGAUGGUUAGGUGUGCCACUGUUUGCUCAGAAAUUUCUGACCGAUUAGGGGAAGUAUUAUCCACAGGCUUCAGAGUUCUGUCCUGUCCACAGAAUACCAUGUCACUAGGAAGUGAGUCAUUGGUUGUCCAUGGAGUCUAAGGCUUGGUCUUGACCUGCUUCUGGAGAAGUUGUUUAUCAUGUAACUUGGUUCCUCAUUUUAAGCAGUCAUGUUUUAGCUCACUUCUUGGGCAUCUGUAAAUUUUUACUGUUUUCUGGAUAUUCUUCUUAGCUUAAGGAGUAGAUAAUAAGCUAUAGUCAGGUAAAGCUGCUUUCAGGAAACUGUCCAAGACCACUAGUUUUGCUUCUCAUUACUUCUAGUUAGUGCAUGCUUCUUGGGAUUCUGCAUUUUCUAGUCUGUUGUAGUCUUCACACUGGCACCAUUAAUGCCAUCUUUGACUUCCUGAAGACACAGUUCAAGCUCCAUAUACAGAAAUUUGGUGAUAUGAAAACUACACUCUAAGUUUAUUCUUGCUGAAAUAAGAGCUCAAAAGACGAAGAUGGCAAUAACAUUGAGGAGGAUAAAUUUUUGGCUGCAGAACCCUGCUCAAUAUCCCUGAAACUGCAAAGGGGCCUUUACCAAUUCCACAUGGAAGGCCAGUUUUGUCAUGAGCUAUUUUGAAUAUCCAGUGAAAGGAUUUAUAAAUAUUUUUGACUAUGUGAAUGCGUAUAGCUGGAGUAAGACAGGGAGUAGAAACUUGGGGUGCAAGGAAGUCUUAAAGAAGGGCCCUCAACAUCAUAAUGAAGCACAUAGGAAUAAGACCACUCCAUAUGUACUUCAGCAGUAGUCAAAUGUGCUUGGCUUGAUGACAAUACUUUCUGAUCUGAACUUGGUGGAGAAAGGGAUUUCAGGAUUGCUUAUAGACUAGCUAUCACUGGUAACUUUGAUAAAAGCGUCCCUGGGCCAAGAUGUUGAAUCUCUCAGGGAUGAAUCUGGACAGGGAACAUGGAGAUACUGAGUUAUCCUAAGAGCCAAGACAAGACUCCCCAAACUCCCAGUUAGCCCAGGCAUUUUCAAAGAUCUUGUAUCUAAAUUAAGAACUUGUUGGUACAUUUUCAAAGAUCUUAUAUCUAAAUUAAGAACUUGUUGGUACAUUUUCAAAAAUCUUGUAUCUAAAUUAAGAACUUGUUGGUACUUUAAGAACCACUAAGUCAAAUAAAUAGCUGUACUGUACCUGUAAGAACAUUCUCCUGCUAGUCACACUGGCACACUGUGUGAUCAUAGCUACUCAGGAGCCUAGGCAGAAGGAUCACUUGAGGCCAAUAGUUCCAUACCUGUCUGGGCAACAUGAUGAGCUUCUGACUCAAAAGAAAAAAAAAAGAAAGAAAGAAAGAAAGAAAGAAAGAAAGAAAGAAAGAAAGAAAGAAAGGAGAAAGAAGUAUCCUUCCAACUGAUGUUUUUCAUACAUAUAUAUAUAUAUAUAUAUAUAUAUGAAAUAUAUUUACAUACAGACACUUUCCACAAUAUUUAGAGAAAUGGAACAAAUAAAUCUCUCCUCACAUUUUUCAGACAAGAUACAUAUGUAGUACAGGCUGUUUCUGAAAUUACUAACUUCCUGCCUUGUUCUCAAGGGCUGAGAUUAAAGGCAUGUGUUGCCACACUUGGCUCGUCCCAUAUCAGUUUUGUCCUUGGAAGUUUGUUUUCAUUCAUGCCAAAAGUAACCAGUAAUGUCAACCAUUCUUGUUUCACUUUAAAUGUGAACACACACACACACACACACACACACACACACCCCUGUAGAAUUUUCAGGUGCAAAUGACCAUACAGAUACAUUAAUAACAUACUCUUUUCCACUUAUCACUUACAUAACCUGUGUAAAAAAAAGCUAGAUAGGUAAUUGUUUGCUUUUCUGUUUCUGUUCCUAGGGAAAUGGAUUGGCAAGAUGACAUGUCUAAUAAGCUAGGACUCAGUAUCUAAUGGGGAUUCAGAAAGAUGAGUUGCUAUAAAUUCCUCCCCUACUAAAAAACCCUAAGACAUUUCCAAGCUUUAUUAUUUAUUUCUUUGUCCAACCUCUGAGCCUUGUCUGGUGAAGCAGGUUACAAGGACAACCCACAGUAUAAUGAUAUCAGAGGAAAGAAACUGGAUUCCAGGGAGAAAACUGAAGCCCAGAGGCCAAGCUGGUUUGAAGAGGAUGACUUUGGAAAGGAAAAACAAUGAGUCACUUAUAAAGCUCCUGACUACAACAACAUCCCAGCACCAAAGGACUAGAAACUGAUGCAAAUAGAUACUUAAUCUCAAGUAGGAUCUUGAUACAGGCACAAACUAAGAACCUUAUACAAACAGAAGAUCUCAGAAGAACGGACAUUUCCUAGAGAGCCUUGAUACAAGUGAUAAUGCUGCCUACUACAAAAUCCUGCAAAGAUAAUGCAGAAAGAAAAAUAAAAACUUUUAGAAUAGAAAAUCACAAGAUGCAGAGCACAAUGCAAUCUCCAAACUCCAGCAUACACAGAACAAGUCUAGCCAACAAGACAGAGGAAGUAGAAAACACACACCUGAAAUUUCUGAAGUGAUAGCAAACAAAGUAAGAAAACAAUUCCUGAUCAAAAAUGAUACCUCAAGUUAAAAAAGAAAUGGCAAUGAUAAUGAAGGAAUUACUCAGGAAAUCUACAGAAGACAUAGAUAAAAAAGUACAAGAAAAUAAAAAAUGAUAAGUGAAUAAUAUAGGAAAUAAAUAGAAUGGGUGCAAGAGACUCAAUAAACAAAUAAGAAACUGAAAAUUCCAUUGAAAUCUUGCAAAACCACUUGAAUGAAACUGAAGCUAGACAUUCAGAACUUUAAGACAGAACUUUGCCUAGCAAGGAUGAAAGAAAAGAUCUAAAAUUACAAAGAUCAAGGAAAACAAUUCAGUAGCUGCAAGACAAUGCAAUGAAAAAAUAAUAUAAGACUGGUGUCAAUGAAAUAACAGAAGUCAACACAAAUGACAUAAAUAGGCUAUGGACUGAAGUAAUAACAGAAAAUUUUCUAAGCAUGGGAAAAGAACAUGACAUACUAAUAGGUGAAGCAUAUAGAACACCAAUUAAUCAAGAUCCAACAAAUUCAGCAAAAUAAUAUAAUAUUAAAAACUGUUAGAGAAAAGAAACAGAUCAUGUAUAAAAGAAAAUCUAUCAAAAUCAUGGCACACUUCUCAAUGCAAACACUCAAGUCUAGAAAAACUUGGGUGGAAGUAUUUCAAGGCCUGAAAUAAAGCAACUUCCAACACAAGUUGAUGUGUCCUGCAAAAUUAUCUUUCAAAAUUAAUGGAGAAAAAAGACACUCCUACGACAGAGAAUAACUGAAAAAAAUUCACGACCAACAAACCAACUGUACAAAGGACCCUGAAAGAUAUUCUAGACAGAGAUAAAAAUGACCACAUUUCCAACAGCUACAGAAAGAAACCACCAGGCAGGGCAAUCAACUUAACUGAGGGCAAAUGCAAGGAACCAAGAACAAGGAAAUAUCAUGUUAAAGAUAAGCCAAUAUAUAUGAGUUAUAAUUAUCAAUGCAAAUGACUUCAAUUCACCAGUCAAAAGAAACUGACUGGCAUAAUGAAUGGAUCAAGAAACAAGAUUCACCAAUAUGCUGUAUACAAGAAAAAUGUUUAACUUAAAUAGAAGCUUAAAGACUGAAAAUAAAAGAAUGGACAACCAUCUCACAUGUAAAAAGAACUCAGAAAAAUGCAGGAGUAGUUUUGGGUUUGCAGAUAAUGUGAACUUCAAAUCAGGAAUGAUAAAAAAGAUACAGAAUGUCACUAUAUACUUGUUAGGGAAAUAUUUCAAGAUGCAUCAAAUACCAAUCCACACAUCUAUAUAAAACAAAUAUUAAUAUACAUGAAAAAUCAAGUAAGGAAUAUAAAAUUUUAGCAGGGAAAUUUAAUAUUCCACUGUCACAAAUAUAUAAAUUUACCUUACAAAAAUCAAUAAAGAAGUACCAGAAAUGACCCAAACAUGUGAAAAAAUGUACUUAGUAGACGUUUACAGAGCAUUACACUCAACACCAGAACAUACAUUCGUUUCACUUGCACAUGAGACAUUAUCUAAAAUAGACCAUAUACUACUCAUAGAACAUGUGUAAGUAAGCGCAAAGGAAUUGAAGUUAUCCCGUGCAUAUUAUAUGACCACAAUCAGUAAAGUUGGAAAUUAACAUCAAAAGAAACCAUAAAAGCUCCAUAAACAUAUGGAAAUUAAACAACUCUUUCCUGAACAAUGAAUGGGUUGCAUUGAACACAACUGUUUGCAGUCUCACUGUUUGAAUGUCCACUUUAUAUGCUUUAAUUUUGUAACUUGAACAACUAUUUCUGUGAUGACAAUAUGUAAUCUAUUAACUAGUGAUUUCUUACUGUUUAUUAUUUUGAAAUUCUAUAUUACUUGUACCCUUUUACUGUUUUUUUCUUUA